CCCGUUAAUGGGUGAUAGCGUGCCUUUUGUAGAAUGAACCGGCGAGUUACGAUCCCAUGCAAGGUUAAGUUGAAGAGACGGAGCCGCAGCGAAAGCGAGUCUGAAUGGGGCGUUUUUAGUAUGUGGUCGUAGACCCGAAACCAGGUGAUCUACCCAUGUCCAGGGUGAAGUCCAGGUAACACUGGAUGGAGGCCCGAACCCACGCACGUUGAA
Molecule: non-coding RNA, 213 nt
Filed under: Neobacillus niacini
Lineage: Bacteria; Bacillati; Bacillota; Bacilli; Caryophanales; Bacillaceae
Description: Bacillus niacini partial 23S ribosomal RNA
Rfam family: Bacterial large subunit ribosomal RNA
Source: RNAcentral